This 489-nucleotide ribosomal RNA is filed under the name uncultured bacterium. RNAcentral's name for it is "partial 16S ribosomal RNA". It matches the Rfam family "Bacterial small subunit ribosomal RNA", at positions 30 to 506 of the family's 1533-position model. The record is from RNAcentral.
UGAACGCUGGCGGCAUGCUUUACACAUGCAAGUCGAACGGUAACAGGCCUUCGGGUGCUGACGAGUGGCGAACGGGUGAGUAAUGCAUCGGAACGUACCCAGAGGUGGGGGAUAACGCAGCGAAAGCUGUGCUAAUACCGCAUGUGAUCUGAGGAUGAAAGCGGGGGACCGAGCAGCAAUGUUUGGCCUCGCGCCUUUGGAGCGGCCGAUGUCGGAUUAGCUAGUUGGUGGGGUAAAGGCCUACCAAGGCGACGAUCCGUAGCUGGUCUGAGAGGACGACCAGCCACACUGGGACUGAGACACGGCCCAGACUCCUACGGGAGGCAGCAGUGGGGAAUUUUGGACAAUGGGCGCAAGCCUGAUCCAGCAAUGCCGCGUGCGGGAAGAAGGCCUUCGGGUUGUAAACCGCUUUUGGCAGGAACGAAACGGUGUCCGCUAAUACCGGGCGCUAAUGACGGUACCUGCAGAAUAAGCACCGGCUAACUACGU